This is a long non-coding RNA of Neltuma alba, 306 nucleotides long. RefSeq lists it as uncharacterized. The record is from RefSeq and is a predicted model, not a curated record. The transcript has 2 exons. Lineage: Eukaryota; Viridiplantae; Streptophyta; Magnoliopsida; Fabales; Fabaceae.
AUGGGCUGGAAUGGAAAGGUGUUUCAACAUGUUAACCCUAGUCCGCGAAGCUAUAGUACUUCAUCACUCGAAUAAUUGUGACUCUCAGGACUCAUUUAGAAUAGUUUAAAAAUAGUGUUUAUAAGUGAUUUUGAAAGCUAUGGCACCAAACAGGCUCUCAAACAUCACUUUAUAAGCACCUAUAAGCUAUAAUGCUUCUAGCUGCGCGUACACAAAGGAGUAUGACCCGAACAUCACUCCCCUGUCCACCAAGAGCUUUGCAUCUCGGGAAAUGAGCGCAACUUCUGAUGGUGCUUCUAGCUACGG